AUUAAAAAAAAAAAAAAAAACUCUUUUGACAAAUAAUAUUAUCUGAAUGGUCUGAGUCCUUUUUUAUUUUUUUAUUUUUGGAAAUGAACAAACCUAAUACGGAUUAUAUAUUACUCGAAUCAAAGUGUAUUGGUCAGAGCAUUAAAAUAAGGAAAAAAAAAAACUCUGAUGAAUAGUAUUAUUCUAAUGACCAUUAUCACCUAAAAUAAGAUUUUAGACCAUGGUUUCAAUUAUAGCUAAUACACUAAGCAUAGGCCAUCAUACCCUUCACAACCAAAAGUUUUGUGGCCACAGCCUUACCAAUGUUUUAUGCUUUCUAAAACACGUCCCAAUUUAUUCUUUUAAUCUUUCUUACUUUCAUUAUGAAGUAAUGAUGGAGAACAAGAACAUAAGAAUCAAGAGAUACAAAUUCUCAAAAUUCAAAGGGAGAAACAAAUUCUCAAAAACGCUUAUUAAUUCCUAAUAAUAAUAAUAAUCAAAUCUUAAAUAUGUGGAGAUCAUAAGCCCUAUUUAUUAUGGAGUUUAGCAAUUAGGAUUAGAAAUCCUGAAACAAUAAAAUACUAAACCAAUACUAUUUAAGAAUUCUACAUAAACUUAAACAAGGAAAAUAAUAAUAAACCUCAUAUAAUUCCAUAAAUAAGAAAUCAUAAGCCUAAUGAAAUUCUUAAACUUCAUAAUUCUA
This 682-nucleotide unclassified non-coding RNA is filed under the name Hevea brasiliensis (rubber tree). Lineage: Eukaryota; Viridiplantae; Streptophyta; Magnoliopsida; Malpighiales; Euphorbiaceae. The record is from RNAcentral.